RNAcentral lists this unclassified non-coding RNA (344 nucleotides) under fungal sp. Its description in RNAcentral is "partial internal transcribed spacer region". The stretch from base 1 to 45 matches the Rfam family "Eukaryotic small subunit ribosomal RNA", at positions 1787 to 1831 of the family's 1831-position model. Lineage: Eukaryota; Fungi. The record is from RNAcentral.
AGUCGUAACAAGGUAUCCGUAGGUGAACCUGCGGAUGGAUCAUUAACAAAGGUGAUUUUGAAGUUGUGUGAACAGUUGGAGGUGGUGGUGGUGGUGGUGGUAUUGGGUGGUACUGGGUGGUACUGGGUGGUACUGGGUGGUACUGGGUGGUAUUGGGUGGUAUUGGGUGGUAUUGAGUGGUGUAACCUUGGUCUAACCUUGGUCAACCUCACUCAACCUCACUCAACCUCACUCUCCCAACCUCACUCUCCCAACCUCCACCACUCCGUCCCUAUAAUGUAUACAAACUGAUGUCUGCUAGUUUCAAACUAAAACAACUUUUAGCAACGGAUCUCUUGGCUCUC